UGCUCUAAUUAGACUAUAAUAAUGGUAAAAAAACGUAAUGAAAUUCAAAACAACUCAAAGAAAUUUCAAACAAACAAUAAAAAUUUUAAAGAAAUAUUAGAAUGAUCACAAAUUUUAUUCAAAUAUAUGUCAAUUCAACCUUAAUUUAAUUCUAGUUAAAACUCUAUUGAAUUUCUCUCAACUUUAGACCAAAUCAAAUUAAAUCUUAAACCCUAAUAAUUCCUAAACCCUAAGUCAAAUCCUAAACAAAUCUUAAAUUAAACCCUAUUUCAAAUCCUAAAUCCUAAAUCAAAUCCUAAAUCAAAUCCUAAUUAAAUCCUAAAUCCUAAUCCAAACCCUAAUCCAAAUCCUAAUCCAAUCCUAAACUCUAAUCCAAAUCCUAAAUCCUAAACCAAAUCUUAAAUCAAAUCCUAAUCAAAUCCUAGUCCAAACUCUAAUUCAAAUCUUAAAUCAAAUCCUAAUCCAAAUCCUAAAUCAAAUCCUAACC
Molecule: long non-coding RNA, 487 nt
Filed under: Physcomitrium patens
Lineage: Eukaryota; Viridiplantae; Streptophyta; Bryopsida; Funariales; Funariaceae
Description: long non-coding RNA (PPAT_LNC013119)
Source: RNAcentral